This 255-nucleotide ribosomal RNA is filed under the name Clostridioides difficile. RNAcentral describes it as "partial 23S ribosomal RNA". It matches the Rfam family "Bacterial large subunit ribosomal RNA", at positions 2262 to 2516 of the family's 2925-position model. The record is from RNAcentral. Lineage: Bacteria; Bacillati; Bacillota; Clostridia; Peptostreptococcales; Peptostreptococcaceae.
UGGGCAGUUUGACUGGGGCGGUCGCCUCCCAAAAGGUAACGGAGGCGCUCAAAGGUUCUCUCAGUACGGUCGGAAAUCGUACGUAGAGUGUAAAGGCAAAAGAGGGCUUGAUUGCAAGACAUACAGGGCGAGCAAGGAUGAAAAUCGGACUUAGUGAUCCGGUGGUUCUGCGUGGAAGGGCCAUCGCUCAACGGAUAAAAGCUACCCGGGGGAUAACAGGCUUAUCUCCCCCAAGAGUCCACAUCGACGGGGAGG